CUUGCGCAAUGGGCGAAAGCCUGACGCAGCAACGCCGCGUGCGGGAAGAAGGCCCUAGGGUUGUAAACCGCUUUCAGUAGGAACGAAAAUGACGGUACCUGCAGAAGAAGGUGCGGCCAACUACGUGCCAGCAGCCGCGGUGACACGUAGGCACCAAGCGUUGUCCGGAUUUAUUGGGCGUAAAGAGCUCGUAGGCGGUUGAGUAAGUCGGGUGUGAAAACUCUGGGCUUAACCCAGAGCCGCCACUCGAUACUGCUCUGACUUGAGUUCGGUAGGGGAGCAGGGAAUUCCUAGUGUAGCGGUGAAAUGCGCAGAUAUUAGGAGGAACACCGGUGGCGAAGGCGCUGCUCUGGGCCGAAACUGACGCUGAGGAGCGAAAGCGUGGGUAGCAAACAGGAUUAGAUACCCUGGUAGUCCACGCCGUAAACGUUGGGCACUAGGUGUGGGUUCCAACCAACGGAAUCCGCGCCGUCGCUAACGCAUUAAGUGCCCCGCCUGGGGAGUACGGCGGCAACGCUA
This 519-nucleotide ribosomal RNA is filed under the name uncultured Actinomycetes bacterium. RNAcentral's name for it is "bacterial SSU rRNA". It matches the Rfam family "Bacterial small subunit ribosomal RNA", at positions 363 to 896 of the family's 1533-position model. The record is from RNAcentral. Lineage: Bacteria; Bacillati; Actinomycetota; Actinomycetes.